ACGCUCGACACCUACGGGGCAGCAGUAGGGAAUAUUGCGCAAUGGGGGAAACCCUGACGCAGCAACGCCGCGUGGAGGAUGACACUUUUCGGAGCGUAAACUCCUUUUCUUAGGGAAGAAUUCUGACGGUACCUAAGGAAUAAGCACCGGCUAACUCCGUGCCAGCAGCCGCGGUAAUCUGAGCGGGCUGGCAAGGC
RNAcentral lists this ribosomal RNA (197 nucleotides) under uncultured bacterium. Its description in RNAcentral is "partial 16S ribosomal RNA". It matches the Rfam family "Bacterial small subunit ribosomal RNA", at positions 326 to 539 of the family's 1533-position model. The record is from RNAcentral.